CUCCCGCUCAAAUCUCGAAAUCUCAGGGUGGCUCAACAUCUAAAAAACCUAACAGAUUAAGCCCUACCUUCUUUCUCUCUCGCCUCUCUCCCUCUCCCUCUCCCCCAGAACAAGGCUUUGUUACUCCCAAUCUAUAAGCCAGCUCGUCCAUAAAGCCACAGGCUCGGAGCGCUCUUAUUUUUUUCUCACGAAGUGCUCUCUCUUCCUUCUGUCUCCCUGUCUCGCCUGAAACCUAAUCCUCUCCUUUCCAGGGUGGCCAUUGGAGCUCUCUUCAAGCUUCUGAUAUAUCAUAUCAGGUACAGAAACAAUCCAUUUGCAGUAAUGUCAAUAUAUUUCCAGGUAUCCAAACGGCCCUUAGUGACUUAGAUUGUCGGUCAUAAAAAGAAGGGUUGGGCAGAGGGUAAAGAAGAGAAAAUUUUUUGCAUUAGAUUCUUGUAGGAGAAGGAAACAAUUCGAGGACAUGAAAAAGCUUCUAGAAAUGAAAUUGGCAUAGACCAAACUGCAUUUUUCAAAGAUAUUGCAAGAUGAUGAUGAGACUUAACCGGCUUUGGAGUGGUUCUACGUUGCUUUAGGCCCUAAAAUAACUUUGUUCACAGGAAAUGGUAUUUCUGGUGUAAUCUACAGAAAUCAGAUUUAAGAAAGAUGAUAAACCACCUGUGUAGUGAGUUAAAGAAAGAAGAAAGUAGUAGCUUUUAUAGCAUGCUGUUGAUUGAGGAAAUCAGACUGCUUGGAGACUGUCCGCUAUACUUCAUAAUAAGAAAUAAUCAAACCAAUGUUGUAUGUAUAGUUUAGUCAGUUUGUGUUCAUCAAAUUGCCAGCUAAUUGGAGUUCAUUGCAAUCAGAACAUUGUGAUCCAUGUUUUAUCUUUCAGCUAUUGAGGUUCUAAAGAUCGAAUGUAAUGAACAACUGUCCAGCAAUGAUCAAUAUCAAACUAUGUUCAGUGGUUUGCCACUUGAACCGUUAAUUUGUGUUGUAGCAGAACUACGUUCUUCAUUCAUUUUCUGUCUCACGGAUUCUUAUGCUAUCAACAUCUGAUAUUGAUGCUUCUCUUCAAUAAUUGCAAAAGCUCAUGUGCCUAUCCAUUACAUUUGGAAACCCUUAUCGCUCAUGCCUUGCAUUUGAAGUUGUAAGAAUAACCACAUUCAUCUUGAAGUUUUUCUCCCUUUUUGUAAUGUUACAAAUAUUCUCAAUCUAAACUUUCCUACCCAUUUCCCUGUGAAUCUUUCUUUCAUUUACUAACCAUGAAAUUCCUGUCCUGCAAUGAAUGAGAAAUCAAUGUGGCAGCAAACCCUGUUGAAGAGGUGCAUUAAUUUCCCAAGCCAAAAGAGUUAAUAUGUCUCAUGAUUGAGUUUUUGACCAAUCGAAGUAUACAACAAAAUCAUAAAUAUUCAAACGCCCUCACCUCAAAUGGUCAUGUUAUGAUUUGCCAGUGAUAAUUUGCGCAAAAGAGGGAGAAUUUUGUUUGGAAGGCAUUGGCAUUUUCUUUGUUGAAUGGACAGGUUUUGAAGAGCCUUAGCUCCAUAAACCAUAUAAGCAUGCAUGAAAGUUAUUGUAAUAUGUUAGUAAUUCAAAUAAUUAUGUAAGUGUUCCCAAUUUACAUUGCAAACAAAUGCCCCUUAAAAACUUGAAUGAUAUAUUUUUCAUCUGAUAUUAUGAAAAUGAUGAUUGUACAUAUUUUUCUAUU
Amborella trichopoda is the source of this 1684-nucleotide long non-coding RNA. RefSeq lists it as uncharacterized. The record is from RefSeq and is a predicted model, not a curated record. Lineage: Eukaryota; Viridiplantae; Streptophyta; Magnoliopsida; Amborellales; Amborellaceae.